RNAcentral lists this long non-coding RNA (4763 nucleotides) under Citrus maxima (pomelo). RNAcentral describes it as "long non-coding RNA (CMAX_LNC002123)". Lineage: Eukaryota; Viridiplantae; Streptophyta; Magnoliopsida; Sapindales; Rutaceae. The record is from RNAcentral.
UGCAGCACUCGUUUUGUGGAGCAGGAAGUUUAAGGACAAUGGCACCCAAAACAUCAGCGCAUACCUUCAACUUAAGGGCAUCCGGAGGACAAUUUCCAGGCACUGUCCUUGUGGCUGAGGUAAGGACAACGAAUAACAGGAGGUUGAGGGAGAGCAAAAUGGCUGCUGAUGACUUUGAAGCCAUUUCUCAAAGAAUUCAAUUUAUGAAUAUUAAAGACUUUGUGAAUGCGAGUCUGAGUGAUGAAAAUUGUGAAGUGGUAUGGGGGUAUUUAUAGCUGAAGUCGGAUCUUUCUGGCUUUUAAAUUCUACUGCAUAAAAAUGGAGUGCGGAUUAAAUUGAUUAGUUUCUGUACUGGCCAUUAGCUGUUAAUACGAUUUAAACAUCAGUUAUUUGUGCCAGACAGAAUAUAUAUAUUUUAAUAAUCACAGCAAAGUCAAAGUGUGAUUGCCUAAUCAGAUAAUUGUAUGAACGCGCGCACAAAACGAGUUUAUUUAAACAUUGAAGGGAAAUUGACAAAAUUCUCCUCUUACUUUUAUAACUCACUAGAGCCCUGUCAAGUUACGAUGUCAAACAGUUUAUGACUGUUAUAAUAUGAAUUUACUGCUCUUCUUUUGAAUAUUUCAUAAGAUACUUAUAAAAAAAAUCUAAUGUGCGUGCUGCAAUCAAAAGCUCUAACUCAAUGCAUGUUGGAAUCUACCUCGAUGUAUUAAAGUUAAAGUUCAACUAACUUGAAAAUCUACACCAAUACAAAAUCAUGAGAAAAUAUUCUCCUAUAUAAGGAGGUGCAAGAAUUGUUCAAAGCUCAAACUAUGAGUGGGUUGCAGGAGAAGGAAAAAAGAUUGAAUUUUAACACUAAUUUUGAAGUAAAAAUAAAAUUAACUAUUAAUAGAAUACUUUAGUAUAGUAAUGUUUCCGUUUACAAUGAUAAGGAUUUAAAGUUAAAAAGUAGCAUUAAUGUUUUCAUGCAUCUUAUUCGAUCGAAUAAAUCCAAUGAAUGAAAAAUUAAGUCACUUUUUCAAGUCAAAAUUUUAAGUUGAGUGAACCCUCCUAAUUUUAGUAUUAGCUGGUGGAAGAACAAUACGGCAUAAAUUCGUUACACAAAAAUGGAUUGCAUAUUAACUAAAUUUAUAGUGCUGAAUUAACGGAAUAUUUUAAUUAUAUUAGCUAUGAAAUACAUUUAACCUUUUCAGCUGAAGUAAUUGUCAUUUGGAAAAAAGAUCUAAAAAAUCAUAAAGAUAAUAUGAAGUAGAAUUUAAAGUUUGAUUGUUGAUACUUAUAAAGUCAUCGGAAUGCGUCCUUUAGCUGAAGUAAUUGUCAUUUGGAGGAUAAGAUUUAAAAAAUCAUAGCGAUAGUAUGAACUGGAAUUUAAAAUUAGAUUUUUGAUACUAAUAAAGUCAUCGUAAUGUGUCCUUUGCGAGCAGCAUGGCAAUAAAAAACACAUUAAAGGCGACUUUUAGACUAAAAUUUAAUAAAGACAAAAUUAACACAGUAAUGUUGACACUCUAGAAUCCCCGUCAUGAACCUUCUGUUCAGUAUUUUGUUUUCUUUACGGAGUAUUCGCGUUAUUCAUCUAGAGUGUUAUUAAUUAUCCUAAAAAAUUAUUCAGAAACAAGGCCUUCAUUCAUCAAAUAAGUAUAAUGUGGCGUUCUUGUUUUUUUGACGAUGAAAUUAUGAAUUAAAGAAUAUGAGUUUACUUUUUAACCCGUACAAAAACGAAAUGUUCCAUUAUUGCCUUAAUUAAUUUCCAUAGAUCAUUGCGUUCACGUCGGUGUAGUUGCUGUUGAAGAAUAUUUAUCUGCAUAAAUCUGAUACGCACAAAAAUUGGGUUAAAUCAAUUUUUAUUUUUUAUUUUAAAAAAUAGAAGAGUAGGUAAAGUCUAAAAUAACUUGUUAAACCCUACAUAUUUCUAGUAUUUAAAACUAAAUAAAAUUACUUAAAAAUUGCUUAAUCAGGGUGGCCAAAUCAAUUUUGAUGAUCAUGAAAAAACAUGAUAAUAUAUAAACCAAAAUAAAAUUCGAAUUCCAUAUAUAUUUAAUUUGACAAAAUUAAAUUUGCCGACAAUCUAAAAUAGUUGAGCACUAUAUAUGAGCAAUUAGGGAAAAUCAAGUCAACGUGCAUGUCAAAAACAAAAUAAGAUGGAUCUGAGUCCCCAUCUCAGUGUUACUGCAGCAACACGAGAUCAAGUUUCUACGAUAAACAAAACUUUUCAAAAAUUCCGCAAGUCCACAACGCAGCAAGCAAAGAUUUUAUUUGAUUGCCGCGGUGGAGAAAGAGCGGCUUUUUGGGGUUCCCACGUUGGCAGAGAUCUUCCUAGGAUACGCAUUUUGACUUGGUAUUAACCAUUUCUUCCUUGCUUAUAAUAAUACUUUUAAAAUCAAUUUUAUUUUUGUUUUCAAAUAUAAUAUAAUUUAUUAAACUUAUAAGUAAUUAAGGGUCCUCCGUGAUUUUUGACUUGUCACAGUUAUAGCAUAGUUUACGAAUAUGCGCCGAGUAAAAAUGAUAUUUAUCUCACACAACUAUAAACAAAAUCAGUAAUUUGAGUCCACCGAAACUCGAAUCAAACUACAGAAAUAAUGGAGUUUGUUUCCGCUAGACUCCUCGUCCUCAAGAAGAACAAGCUACAAGAACUUUAAACAUCUUGCUAACAAUCUUAUGGUCGGAUCGGUUGGUGUACACCUUAACUCUAAAGUGAAAAAUUGGAAUCUCUUUGGUAAACGUGAGAGUAAUUUUUUUUUUUGUUGGGAUUUAAAGGACUUUAGUUGUAUACUUUAGGUUUGAGAUUGAAGCUAGCAUGACUUUUUUUAAUUUUAAAAACUAACAAAUUAAUGUAGUGGGUUCUCGUAUGAUAAUAAAUUAUUGCUCGUUAUUCUCUCUCUUAUUUAAUAUAUUCCAUUUUUUGUCACUUUUUAAUUAUUAUGCUUAUUUUUAUUUAAUUAUUUUCUUUUUUUUGUACUGUCGCAGCUGCGUCAAAUUCCUAAAUUUCACUGGUACUUGUAGUUUAAUUUUUAUUUUUAUUUUUCAAAGCAUGUAUCGCAGUAAAAUUGUUUCCUAGUAUGUUAAUUUUUAUGUGCAGAGGCUGUUGCGGAUGCGAACCUAGCAAUUGAGUUGGAGCCUUCAAUGUCUAAUAUAGUACAUAAUAUUACAACAAGGGUCUCGGGAGUUUGUCCAACAAGCAACAAAGCUCAAAAAUCUAUUUCUAUUAAGGGGAGAAAUAAGUUAACUGGGAAUCAAAUUAAACUCUUGCCCUCCAAGAUGGAGGUAAGAGUGUUUUACCGCGAGUCUGUGGUCUUGGAGGAGAAAAAAUUUGCUCCUUAAGUUCGAUAAAUUUUUAAAAUAAUUUUAAUAUCAUUUUGAUAAUAUAUAUCCUAAUAUUUCAUUUCCAUUCCAUUCCACGUACUAAUUAGGUAUUGAUAUAUGGCUUGAACCUUGAAGCUGGCAGCAACCAGAACAGAACAAAGAAGAACUACGAACAGAGAAGAAACAAGUUUACACCAACUUGUUCUCUUAUUCAAACAACACACAGUAAGUAGAGGCCAAUAUAAAACAGCUUAUUGACAGAUCCAAACCGUAUUUAAAAAGCAGCUGAAGAUAGGAAGCGUACAGCACCAUUUUAUGCCUCAGCAGCAAUAUCAACCAACUGAAAAUUCCAGACCUAGCAACCUCCAAUUUUGUGGAGUAAUUUUCAUUAAUUUCGCUUUUGUUAAAACUUCAACGGCACAAGAAAAUUAAUUUAUUAAGUGAUGGAAACAGAAAUGACGCUCGUAUGUAUAAGAAGAGCUACUCAAUAAGUCAAUGAGCCUUACAGUCGUAAUAACCAGUACAGUCCAAGAAAUAUAACAAAAUCAACAAUGUUAUAUUUCUUAAAUUUAAGAAAUUGUUUAUUUUUGUUGUUUUGUUCUUUUACCGUUCUAUUGAUUCGGUUGGGAAUUAUCUCCUGGCCCCGGUCCCGUUGCUUAUUACGUAUAAUUCCCUACAUGCACAAUUAAUCAAAGCUUGCAUGUCGAGAAUUAUAGAUAACUAAACAAUAUCUCACAAAGAACAACGCUAUUAUAAAAUUUCCAUUCAUUAAUUUAGUUGAAACAAAACAGAAUUCUAUUACAUCUUCGAUUCCAAUGGGAAAGACCAAAUUAAGACGUACAUCAAGAAAAAUGUGAGGAGCUUCCUCCCAUUAUUAUUUUCUUCAAACAGUAAUUAAUAAUAAAUCUCCAAGAGCGAAGAAUUCAGCCUUCCUUGCACUCCACGAACAAACAAUUGCAAAUGCUCAGACAAUUAUUACAAGAAUGCGUUGCAAAACCAAACACGUGUACCAUGGAUGGGACAAAGUAGAGUCACCGAUGGAUGAGCUUAAUUAAUUAUAUAUUAAGCGCACUUGAAUUCAUUAGCACUGGGGACGUCGCAGUGAUUCAAUAGCAAUGACAAGUUGAUAGGAACGUUUAGUUUGAUGAGAUUCAAGACAUUAACAUGAAGGGAAGUGCAAAGGCAUGCGGCAGCGUUGAGUUUGACCAAAUUGCCAAUGAGACUGCAGCACUCGUUUUGGGGAGCAGGAAGUUUAAGGACAAUGGCACCCAAUACAUCAGCACAUACCUUCAACUUAAGGGCAUCCGGAGGACAAUUUCCAGGCACAGUCCUUGUGGCUGAGGUAAGGACAACGAAUAACAGGAGGUUGAGGGAGAGCAAAAUGGCUGCUGAUGACUUUGAAGCCAUUUCUCAAAGAAUUCAAUUUAUGAAUAUUAAAGACUUUGUGAAUGCGAGUGUGAGUGAUG